AGAUUGAACGCUGGCGGCAGGCCUAACACAUGCAAGUCGAGCGGUAGAGAGGUGCUUGCACCUCUUGAGAGCGGCGGACGGGUGAGUAAUGCCUAGGAAUCUGCCUAGUGGUGGGGGAUAACGUUCGGAAACGGACGCUAAUACCGCAUACGUCCUACGGGAGAAAGCGGGGGACCUUCGGGCCUCGCGCCAUUAGAUGAGCCUAGGUCGGAUUAGCUAGUUGGUGAGGUAAUGGCUCACCAAGGCGACGAUCCGUAACUGGUCUGAGAGGAUGAUCAGUCACACUGGAACUGAGACACGGUCCAGACUCCUACGGGAGGCAGCAGUGGGGAAUAUUGGACAAUGGGCGAAAGCCUGAUCCAGCCAUGCCGCGUGUGUGAAGAAGGUCUUCGGAUUGUAAAGCAACUUUAAGUUGGAGGAAGGUUGUAACUUAAUACGUUGCAACUUUGACGUUACCGACAGAAUAAGCACCGGCUAAACUUCGCGCCAGCAGCCG
RNAcentral lists this ribosomal RNA (496 nucleotides) under uncultured soil bacterium. Its description in RNAcentral is "bacterial SSU rRNA". It matches the Rfam family "Bacterial small subunit ribosomal RNA", at positions 26 to 517 of the family's 1533-position model. The record is from RNAcentral.